RNAcentral lists this unclassified non-coding RNA (310 nucleotides) under Hevea brasiliensis (rubber tree). Lineage: Eukaryota; Viridiplantae; Streptophyta; Magnoliopsida; Malpighiales; Euphorbiaceae. The record is from RNAcentral.
CACGAGAUACAUCCACCACAGAGCUCGUUUGCCUCGCUCUACUUAAAUCUUCACUAGCAAACUCUCUCAAACCAAGCUCCAAUCUUUCUUUCGCAAGAUCAUCUAAUCUUUCAGCGAUCUCCUUUAUCUUGGAUUCUAUCUCUACAUUAAACAAAAUUGCACUUGGAUUAAUGGAGGCAGGAAUCAGGCUCUAUACCUGACUUAAGCUAGCUUCAGAUUCUUCUGACUCCAGCUUCCACCGCAGAGCCUCAGUAGCAAACUCAUCCAGCUCGUCCUCAGCAUCGUAAGCAACAUCUUCAAGCUCUUCCAG